This is a non-coding RNA of Caenorhabditis elegans, 208 nucleotides long. NCBI's taxonomy places the organism in Eukaryota, Metazoa, Nematoda, Chromadorea, Rhabditida, Rhabditidae. The record is from Ensembl.
AGGUCCGCUUGCACCUAUCAUGUGUUCGAUGAGACAGCGGCAUCGGACCUUUGCUUAUUUCUGUCUCGUGCAAUAAUCACCAAACGACACAUGGUGUCAUAAGUUCGAACUGACCAAGGGCAGCAGCUGAGAGCGUUGAUUGGGGCGAGAUCUCGAGCACGGUCUCAAGACGAAGCGUGGCCACAUCAGUUGAAUUGUCUUCGUGACG